AGUUCCCUUCAAGCACUUUACG
RNAcentral lists this microRNA (22 nucleotides) under Aegilops tauschii. Its description in RNAcentral is "ata-miR395d-5p". Its record names the gene ata-miR395d-5p. The record is from miRBase by way of RNAcentral. Lineage: Eukaryota; Viridiplantae; Streptophyta; Magnoliopsida; Poales; Poaceae.